GACGAACGCUGGCGGCGUGCUUAACACAUGCAAGUCGAACGGAAAGGCCCUGCUUGCAGGGUACUCGAGUGGCGAACGGGUGAGUAACACGUGUGUGAUCUGCCCUGCACUUCGGGAUAAGCCUGGGAAACUGGGUCUAAUACCGGAUAGGAGCCAUUUUUAGUGUGAUGGUUGGAAAGUUUUUUCGGUGUAGGAUGAGCUCGCGGCCUAUCAGCUUGUUGGUGGGGUAAUGGCCUACCAAGGCGGCGACGGGUAGCCGGCCUGAGAGGGUGGACGGCCACAUUGGGACUGAGAUACGGCCCAGACUCCUACGGGGAGGAGCAGUGGGGAAAUUUGCACAAAGGGCGCAAGCCUGAUGCAGCGACGCCGCGUGGGGGAUGACGGUCUUCGGGUUGUAAACUCCUUUCGCUAGGGACGAAGCUUUUUGUGACGGUACCUAGAUAAGAAGCACCGGCUAACUACGUG
RNAcentral lists this ribosomal RNA (465 nucleotides) under uncultured bacterium. Its description in RNAcentral is "partial 16S ribosomal RNA". It matches the Rfam family "Bacterial small subunit ribosomal RNA", at positions 28 to 507 of the family's 1533-position model. The record is from RNAcentral.